RNAcentral lists this ribosomal RNA (2930 nucleotides) under Escherichia coli. RNAcentral describes it as "23S ribosomal RNA". It matches the Rfam family "Bacterial large subunit ribosomal RNA". The record is from RNAcentral. Lineage: Bacteria; Pseudomonadati; Pseudomonadota; Gammaproteobacteria; Enterobacterales; Enterobacteriaceae.
GGGUUGUGAGGUUAAGCGACUAAGCGUACACGGUGGAUGCCCUGGCAGUCAGAGGCGAUGAAGGACGUGCUAAUCUGCGAUAAGCGUCGGUAAGGUGAUAUGAACCGUUAUAACCGGCGAUUUCCGAAUGGGGAAACCCAGUGUGUUUCGACACACUAUCAUUAACUGAAUCCAUAGGUUAAUGAGGCGAACCGGGGGAACUGAAACAUCUAAGUACCCCGAGGAAAAGAAAUCAACCGAGAUUCCCCCAGUAGCGGCGAGCGAACGGGGAGCAGCCCAGAGCCUGAAUCAGUGUGUGUGUUAGUGGAAGCGUCUGGAAAGGCGCGCGAUACAGGGUGACAGCCCCGUACACAAAAAUACACAUACUGUGAGCUCGAUGAGUAGGGCGGGACACGUGGUAUCCUGUCUGAAUAUGGGGGGACCAUCCUCCAAGGCUAAAUACUCCUGACUGACCGAUAGUGAACCAGUACCGUGAGGGAAAGGCGAAAAGAACCCCGGCGAGGGGAGUGAAAAAGAACCUGAAACCGUGUACGUACAAGCAGUGGGAGCACGCUUAGGCGUGUGACUGCGUACCUUUUGUAUAAUGGGUCAGCGACUUAUAUUCUGUAGCAAGGUUAACCGAAUAGGGGAGCCGAAGGGAAACCGAGUCUUAACUGGGCGUUAAGUUGCAGGGUAUAGACCCGAAACCCGGUGAUCUAGCCAUGGGCAGGUUGAAGGUUGGGUAACACUAACUGGAGGACCGAACCGACUAAUGUUGAAAAAUUAGCGGAUGACUUGUGGCUGGGGGUGAAAGGCCAAUCAAACCGGGAGAUAGCUGGUUCUCCCCGAAAGCUAUUUAGGUAGCGCCUCGUGAAUUCAUCUCCGGGGGUAGAGCACUGUUUCGGCAAGGGGGUCAUCCCGACUUACCAACCCGAUGCAAACUGCGAAUACCGGAGAAUGUUAUCACGGGAGACACACGGCGGGUGCUAACGUCCGUCGUGAAGAGGGAAACAACCCAGACCGCCAGCUAAGGUCCCAAAGUCAUGGUUAAGUGGGAAACGAUGUGGGAAGGCCCAGACAGCCAGGAUGUUGGCUUAGAAGCAGCCAUCAUUUAAAGAAAGCGUAAUAGCUCACUGGUCGAGUCGGCCUGCGCGGAAGAUGUAACGGGGCUAAACCAUGCACCGAAGCUGCGGCAGCGACGCUUAUGCGUUGUUGGGUAGGGGAGCGUUCUGUAAGCCUGCGAAGGUGUGCUGUGAGGCAUGCUGGAGGUAUCAGAAGUGCGAAUGCUGACAUAAGUAACGAUAAAGCGGGUGAAAAGCCCGCUCGCCGGAAGACCAAGGGUUCCUGUCCAACGUUAAUCGGGGCAGGGUGAGUCGACCCCUAAGGCGAGGCCGAAAGGCGUAGUCGAUGGGAAACAGGUUAAUAUUCCUGUACUUGGUGUUACUGCGAAGGGGGGACGGAGAAGGCUAUGUUGGCCGGGCGACGGUUGUCCCGGUUUAAGCGUGUAGGCUGGUUUUCCAGGCAAAUCCGGAAAAUCAAGGCUGAGGCGUGAUGACGAGGCACUACGGUGCUGAAGCAACAAAUGCCCUGCUUCCAGGAAAAGCCUCUAAGCAUCAGGUAACAUCAAAUCGUACCCCAAACCGACACAGGUGGUCAGGUAGAGAAUACCAAGGCGCUUGAGAGAACUCGGGUGAAGGAACUAGGCAAAAUGGUGCCGUAACUUCGGGAGAAGGCACGCUGAUAUGUAGGUGAAGUCCCUCGCGGAUGGAGCUGAAAUCAGUCGAAGAUACCAGCUGGCUGCAACUGUUUAUUAAAAACACAGCACUGUGCAAACACGAAAGUGGACGUAUACGGUGUGACGCCUGCCCGGUGCCGGAAGGUUAAUUGAUGGGGUUAGCGCAAGCGAAGCUCUUGAUCGAAGCCCCGGUAAACGGCGGCCGUAACUAUAACGGUCCUAAGGUAGCGAAAUUCCUUGUCGGGUAAGUUCCGACCUGCACGAAUGGCGUAAUGAUGGCCAGGCUGUCUCCACCCGAGACUCAGUGAAAUUGAACUCGCUGUGAAGAUGCAGUGUACCCGCGGCAAGACGGAAAGACCCCGUGAACCUUUACUAUAGCUUGACACUGAACAUUGAGCCUUGAUGUGUAGGAUAGGUGGGAGGCUUUGAAGUGUGGACGCCAGUCUGCAUGGAGCCGACCUUGAAAUACCACCCUUUAAUGUUUGAUGUUCUAACGUUGACCCGUAAUCCGGGUUGCGGACAGUGUCUGGUGGGUAGUUUGACUGGGGCGGUCUCCUCCUAAAGAGUAACGGAGGAGCACGAAGGUUGGCUAAUCCUGGUCGGACAUCAGGAGGUUAGUGCAAUGGCAUAAGCCAGCUUGACUGCGAGCGUGACGGCGCGAGCAGGUGCGAAAGCAGGUCAUAGUGAUCCGGUGGUUCUGAAUGGAAGGGCCAUCGCUCAACGGAUAAAAGGUACUCCGGGGAUAACAGGCUGAUACCGCCCAAGAGUUCAUAUCGACGGCGGUGUUUGGCACCUCGAUGUCGGCUCAUCACAUCCUGGGGCUGAAGUAGGUCCCAAGGGUAUGGCUGUUCGCCAUUUAAAGUGGUACGCGAGCUGGGUUUAGAACGUCGUGAGACAGUUCGGUCCCUAUCUGCCGUGGGCGCUGGAGAACUGAGGGGGGCUGCUCCUAGUACGAGAGGACCGGAGUGGACGCAUCACUGGUGUUCGGGUUGUCAUGCCAAUGGCACUGCCCGGUAGCUAAAUGCGGAAGAGAUAAGUGCUGAAAGCAUCUAAGCACGAAACUUGCCCCGAGAUGAGUUCUCCCUGACUCCUUGAGAGUCCUGAAGGAACGUUGAAGACGACGACGUUGAUAGGCCGGGUGUGUAAGCGCAGCGAUGCGUUGAGCUAACCGGUACUAAUGAACCGUGAGGCUUAACCUUACAACGCCGAAGCUGUU